RNAcentral lists this long non-coding RNA (545 nucleotides) under Mytilus galloprovincialis (Mediterranean mussel). The record is from RNAcentral. Lineage: Eukaryota; Metazoa; Mollusca; Bivalvia; Mytilida; Mytilidae.
GUUUAUUAAUAAUAAUACAUUAUAAAAGACAAAAUAUAAAUCUGUAUAAAACUUAAAAGUAUGCCCUAGAACCAUUAUCAUUAUAAAACAUAAAAUGCUGUAAUUGAAAAAUAUUUCUACAUGUACAUCUGAAUCUCCAGAAAACUAUGACACAAUAUAAGGUUCCAAUGUUGGUGUACUGUUUGUCCUUGAAUGAACCUAAACCUAAGAAGUAAGGGCUUUGAUAUUGACCAUUACUACAAUAUAUAGCUUAAGAAUUUAAACAUAUGAUGCAUGAAAUAGUCUACAACAUGAAAUAUCAUUCAUCAAAUACAGUAGUACAUUUCAAAAUUACUGUUUAAAGAUAAUUUUAAAAAAUAAUUGUGGUAAUCUCCAAAGGAACAUAAAAUUCUAAAAUAAACAGAUGUGAUGUUGUUGCCAAUUAGACACCAAUCCCACAAAAAACAAGUGAAAAGGAUUUUAACAACUACAAGACAAAAAAAUCAACUCUGAAAUUUGUAACUUAGAUUUCUACAAAAAAAGCUAAACUUUCUUCACUUUCUUUU